UACGGAGGAUGCAAGCGUUAUCAGGAUUCAUUGGGUUUAAAGGGUGCGUAGGCGGGCUAUUAAGUCAGUGGUGAAAUCCUGCAGCUUAACUGCAGAACUGCCGUUGAUACUGAUAGUCUUGAGUUUGGUUAAGGUAGGCGGAAUGUGUAAUGUAGCGGUGAAAUGCUUAGAUAUUACACAGAACACCAAUUGCGUAGGCAGCUUACUGAGCCGACACUGACGCUGAGGCACGAAAGCGUGGGGAUCAAACA
RNAcentral lists this ribosomal RNA (251 nucleotides) under uncultured prokaryote. Its description in RNAcentral is "partial 16S ribosomal RNA". It matches the Rfam family "Bacterial small subunit ribosomal RNA", at positions 524 to 774 of the family's 1533-position model. The record is from RNAcentral.